UAGGUUAACGAGGCGAACCGGGGGAACUGAAACAUCUAAGUACCCCGAGGAAAAGAAAUCAACCGAGAUUCCCCCAGUAGCGGCGAGCGAACGGGGAGCAGCCCAGAGUCUGAAUCAGCUUGUGUGUUAGUGGAACGGUCUGGAAAGUCCGACGGUACAGGGUGAUAGUCCCGUACACCAAAAUGCACAGGCUGUGAACUCGAAGAGUAGGGCGGGACACGUGGUAUCCUGUCUGAAUAUGGGGGGACCAUCCUCCAAGGCUAAAUACUCCUGACUGACCGAUAGUGAACCAGUACCGUGAGGGAAAGGCGAAAAGAACCCCGGCGAGGGGAGUGAAAAAGAACCUGAAACCGUGUACGUACAAGCAGUGGGAGCACCUUCGGGUGUGACUGCGUACCUUUUGUAUAAUGGGUCAGCGACUUAUAUUCUGUAGCAAGGUUAACCGUAUAGGGGAGCCGCAGGGAAACCGAGUCUUAACUGGGCGUUAAGUUGCAGGGUAUAGACCCGAAACCCGGUGAUCUAGCCAUGGGCAGGUUGAAGGUUGGGUAACACUAACUGGAGGACCGAACCGACUAAUGUUGAAAAAUUAGCGGAUGACUUGUGGCUGGGGGUGAAAGGCCAAUCAAACCGGGAGAUAGCUGGUUCUCCCCGAAAGCUAUUUAGGUAGCGCCUCGUGAAUUCAUCUUCGGGGGU
Molecule: ribosomal RNA, 693 nt
Filed under: Klebsiella pneumoniae
Lineage: Bacteria; Pseudomonadati; Pseudomonadota; Gammaproteobacteria; Enterobacterales; Enterobacteriaceae
Description: partial 23S ribosomal RNA
Rfam family: Bacterial large subunit ribosomal RNA
Source: RNAcentral